RNAcentral lists this ribosomal RNA (301 nucleotides) under uncultured bacterium. Its description in RNAcentral is "partial 16S ribosomal RNA". It matches the Rfam family "Bacterial small subunit ribosomal RNA", at positions 509 to 807 of the family's 1533-position model. The record is from RNAcentral.
CAGCAGCCGCGGGAAUACGAAGGGUGCAAGCGUUAAUCGGAAUUACUGGGCGUAAAGCGUGCGUAGGCGGUUUGUUAAGUCUGCUGUGAAAUCCCCGGGCUCAACCUGGGAAUGGCAGUGGAUACUGGCAAGCUAGAGUGUGUCAGAGGAUGGUGGAAUUCCCGGUGUAGCGGUGAAAUGCGUAGAGGUCGGGAGGAACAUCAGUGGCGAAGGCGGCCAUCUGGGACAACACUGACGCUGAGGCACGAAAGCGUGGGGAGCAAACAGGAUUAGAUACCCCGGUAGUCCCUGUCUCUUAUAC